GACGAACGCUGGCGGCGUGCUUAACACAUGCAAGUCGAACGGAAAGGCCCUGCUUUUGUGGGGUGCUCGAGUGGCGAACGGGUGAGUAACACGUGAGUAACCUGCCCUUGACUUUGGGAUAACUUCAGGAAACUGGGGCUAAUACCGGAUAGGAGCUCCUGCUGCAUGGUGGGGGUUGGAAAGUUUCGGCGGUUGGGGAUGGACUCGCGGCUUAUCAGCUUGUUGGUGGGGUAGUGGCUUACCAAGGCUUUGACGGGUAGCCGGCCUGAGAGGGUGACCGGCCACAUUGGGACUGAGAGACGGCCCAGACUCCUACGGGAGGCAGCAGUGGGGAAUAUUGCACAAUGGGCGGAAGCCUGAUGCAGCAAUGCCGCGUGCGGGAUGACGGCCUUCGGGGUGUAAACCGCUUUCGCCUGUGACGAAGCGUGAGUGACGGUAAUGGGUAAAGAAGCACCGGCUAACUACGUG
Molecule: ribosomal RNA, 468 nt
Filed under: uncultured bacterium
Lineage: Bacteria
Description: partial 16S ribosomal RNA
Rfam family: Bacterial small subunit ribosomal RNA
Source: RNAcentral